This 30-nucleotide non-coding RNA is filed under the name Homo sapiens (human). Lineage: Eukaryota; Metazoa; Chordata; Mammalia; Primates; Hominidae. The record is from RNAcentral.
UACACAAGCACUGAGCUGAUUGUUGAGCCA